CUUUGCUAAUGAGCACCAAUACAAUAGGUCUGGUCUUCUCCCACGGGCUGAGUUUGCCAGGAAUACUGUUUGUCAUUCCUCUACUGGCUUGAGCCCUUUUAAAAUGGCUUAUGGUAUACAGCCUAGCGUCCUUCCUGGUGUAUUCUCUGAAAAGGGUAUACCUUGAAUGCCCACCUUGCCAUCUUAAGGGAGAUGUGAGAUCAGGUCUGUGGCUGCCACCCAGAUAGGAAGAAGGGUUUCGCCGCCAGAGACGUUCUCCC
Pelobates cultripes (western spadefoot toad) is the source of this 260-nucleotide non-coding RNA. The record is from the annotation of a GenBank genome assembly. Lineage: Eukaryota; Metazoa; Chordata; Amphibia; Anura; Pelobatidae.